Molecule: transfer RNA, 81 nt
Filed under: Heliconius melpomene (postman butterfly)
Lineage: Eukaryota; Metazoa; Arthropoda; Insecta; Lepidoptera; Nymphalidae
Description: tRNA HMEL009943
Rfam family: tRNA
About the family: Transfer RNA (tRNA) molecules are approximately 80 nucleotides in length. Their secondary structure includes four short double-helical elements and three loops (D, anti-codon, and T loops).
Source: RNAcentral
GCAUCGGUGGUUCAGUGGUAGAAUGCCCACCAGUGGUAGAGUGCCACGCGGGCGGCCCGGGUUCGAUUCCCGGCCGAUGCA